GCCAGAUCCUCAUCGAUGCCCAUGAGACGGAGGGAGUCGAUGAGGUCUAGAUAGGGUCGAACUCGCUCGUUCAACUGGCCAUGGAACACCCCCUCCAUUUCCUUGUUGAAGCUAGAGAAACGGAAGAAACACCCUUACAACUAGACCGCAUGGGGGGGCAGGUCAGUCAGAGUGUCAUGGCCCCCACACUUUGGAACACUCUCCCUCAACAUCUCCAUGAUUGCACCAGCAUCACCCCUUUCAAGACGCAACUGAAAACACAUCUCUUCAUGAUUGACUACUCAGCUCACUCCUGCAACCCCCAGGAGUUGCAUAGAUUGAUCCUAUUACCUAUUCAUUUAUCCUAAAGUAGUUUAUAUUUCAUAAAGCCGUAUUGAUAGUGAUAAAAAAUAAGUAAAUAAAGUAAGUAUGUAACAGCGUAAAUCCCAUGAAUAUUGUUUCUAUUAUUUCAUCUUCCACUGUAAGCUGUCUCUCUUGCUCCUCUUCUCUGCUGUACUCUAGAACUGUUGUGCAUUCCCUCUGUUGCUAUGGUUGUUCGUUAUGCUGUCACACUUAAAAUAAUAAUAAUAUUAGUAUUAUUAAAGGCCAACUUUGUAACUCUAGUAAAUUCUUUUUGAUUUCUCA
Molecule: long non-coding RNA, 624 nt
Organism: Alosa sapidissima (American shad)
Lineage: Eukaryota; Metazoa; Chordata; Actinopteri; Clupeiformes; Clupeidae
Exons: 2
Source: RefSeq, a predicted model, not a curated record